RNAcentral lists this transfer RNA (76 nucleotides) under Luoshenia tenuis. RNAcentral's name for it is "tRNA-Ala". It matches the Rfam family "tRNA". From Rfam's summary of the family: Transfer RNA (tRNA) molecules are approximately 80 nucleotides in length. The record is from RNAcentral. Lineage: Bacteria; Bacillati; Bacillota; Clostridia; Christensenellales; Christensenellaceae. RNAcentral also lists the same sequence under 1 other name.
GGGGGUGUAGCUCAGCUGGGAGAGCGCCUGCCUUGCACGCAGGAGGUCAGCGGUUCGAUCCCGCUCAUCUCCACCA